Molecule: long non-coding RNA, 358 nt
Filed under: Homo sapiens (human)
Lineage: Eukaryota; Metazoa; Chordata; Mammalia; Primates; Hominidae
Description: non-protein coding lnc-DIMT1-1:1
Source: RNAcentral
AAUGGCUUUGGUACAGAAGGGCAGCAAAAAGGGCUGUUAUGCCAUCAACAAGGUGGUGACCUGAGAAUAUACCACCAACAUUCAUAAGUGCAUCCAUGAAGUGGGUUUCAAGAAAUGUGCUGACCAUGCACUAAAAGAAAUUUCAAAAUUUUGCUAUGAAAACGAAGGGGGCUCCAGGUGAGUGCACUGAUAUGAAGCUCAAUCAAGCUGACUAAACCAAAAGUAUAAGCAAUGUCCCAUACCACAUCCAUGUGCAGUUGUCCAGAAAAUGUAAUGAGGAAGAGUCACCAAUGAAGCUGUAUGUUAUUUAUAUACCUGCCACCACUUUAAAAAAUCUACACAGCAUGAAUGAGAACUA